Molecule: ribosomal RNA, 1323 nt
Filed under: Triticum aestivum (bread wheat)
Lineage: Eukaryota; Viridiplantae; Streptophyta; Magnoliopsida; Poales; Poaceae
Description: partial small subunit ribosomal RNA
Source: RNAcentral
AUGGAGACGAAUGAGAAGAACGCCGCUGAUUUGGAGGACAAGAACCAGCCCAGCGGGCACGGCCAGCAGCCGAGCUUCCACGGGCCCGGGUUCUCGCUCUCGCCGGAAGCUCAGAUGGAUUCUUCCAGCAGUGCGCUGGCCGCCAUGGGGAACCCGUUCCCUCCUGGCUUGUGGAACCCACCUGGCCAGAACUUCGGGCUGGGGGAGACCAACACUAACGCUAUGCUUAAUGGGCACCAGUUCUCCUCGUUCUUGGGGAUGCUGUCAGCAGCGACGCCCGCAUAUCCCGGCGCCCAGUCGGGGUUCAUGGAUUGUGGGGCAGGGUUUCCUGGCUUAAGUGCAAACAGUCUUGGAGCCAUGAUGGAUCACCCUUUUUCUAGGAACCCUGCUAUGGGUAGUUUCCAAAACGAUAUUGAGACGUCUAGGGAGAUGAAUGUGGACGAAGGUUGCAAGGAUGCAUUAUUGACCGGUGAUAGGCAGCAAGGAGACACCGAGAGUUCACAUGGUGUUGAUGCCUCUAGCAAGGAGUUAAGCAAGCCGGAGUGCAGUGGUGGCGCUGGUCAGGAUGAAGGGCCUAGUGUCUCUUGUCCCAAGAAGAGGAAAAGACCAAGCCAGGAUCGUGGGGUGAAGCAUGUACAAGAAGGGAGCCAGCAAUUGGCAACUCUGGCUGCAAAGCAGGAGAAAGAUGACGACGACAAAGAUGAACCAAAGAGGCCUGUUGGGACAUCCAGAAAGUCCAACGGGAAGCAAACUGAGGAUAAAUCUGAUGCGCCAAAGGAAGAUUACAUUCAUAUAAGAGCUCGAAGUGGCCAGGCUACAAACAGCCAUAGUCUUGCAGAAAGGGUUCGGAGGGAAAAGAUUAGUGAAAGGAUGAAAUUUCUUCAGGACCUUGUUCCUGGUUGUAGUAAAGUCAUUGGUAAGGCCGUUAUGCUGGAUGAGAUAAUCAAUUAUGUUCAAUCAUUACAGCGGCAAGUUGAGUUUUUGUCGAUGAAACUUUCAGCUGUCAAUCCAGCACUAGACUUCAACAUAGAGCGCAUUCUAUCUAAGGAUUUAUUUCAGUCUCAAGGAACUGCAUCGUCUACCUUUGGCUUCUUACCAGACAUUGGCCAUCAAUUUUUGCAUCCACCAAAACAUUCUCAAGCUGCGUUGCACAGCAUUGUAAAUCCCGCCGAUGCAUUUGGAAGGGUAACAAAUGCUCCGGUAGGAUGUACAUUCAAAGAGGCCACACAUCAGGUGCCCAAUAAUUUUGAUGGAGAGUUCCACAACGUGAUUGGGAUGCCUUUUACCCUGUUUAAUGACCAUGAAUCAAAUGAUAAACCUUGA